This 253-nucleotide ribosomal RNA is filed under the name uncultured bacterium. RNAcentral describes it as "partial 16S ribosomal RNA". It matches the Rfam family "Bacterial small subunit ribosomal RNA", at positions 524 to 776 of the family's 1533-position model. The record is from RNAcentral.
UAUGGGGGUGGCGAGCGUUACUCGGAUUCAUUGGGUGUAAAGGACAGGUAGGCGGCUAUGCAAGUUGGAGGUGAAAUCCUGCGGCUCAACCGCAGAACUGCCUUCAAAACUGCAUAGCUUGAGGCUAAAAGAGGAGAGUGGAAUUCCCGGUGUAAGGGUGAAAUCUGUAGAUAUCGGGAGGAACACCAGUGGCGCAAGCGGCUCUCUGGUUUAGCCCUGACGCUGAUCUGUGAAAGCUAGGGGAGCAAACAUG